This 1453-nucleotide long non-coding RNA is filed under the name Panax ginseng (ginseng). Its description in RNAcentral is "long non-coding RNA (PGIN_LNC018039)". Lineage: Eukaryota; Viridiplantae; Streptophyta; Magnoliopsida; Apiales; Araliaceae. The record is from RNAcentral.
AUGCGUAAUUCGCACAGACAGGAUAUUCCAAUAGAAUAAUAAAGAAUGGAACCAGGUCAUGCGUAAUUCGCACAGACAGGAUAUUCCAAUAGAAUAAUAAAGAAUGGAACCAGGUCAUGCGUAAUCCGCAUAGACAGGAUAUUCCAACAGAUAAUAAAGAAUGGAAUAACAUAAGAAUUUCACCAUGUAUGCGGUAGUUAGCAUAGACAGGUUAUUCCAACAUAAUAAUAAAGAAUGGAAUAACAACCCUUACGAGUAUUAAAAGAAAAUAACUCUCUUCAUGAAUACGAAAGAAUAAUACCCCUUACACAAUAAUGAUAUCCCCUACCUCAAAAGAAGACUAGAAUAGUGAGGUAACAGACUUCUCUUCUUCUUUCUCUCUAUAAUUUCUCUCUAUAAUAAUUUCUCUAUAGCUUUAGUGAAUUGGUGAGAAAUGAAGGAAGAAUGAGCUUCUAUUUAUAGAAAAAUAUAGUUUUAAUAAUUACACGUUGUAGACACUCGAAAUUUUUUGCACACCUGUUACUGACAUUGCAGGAGGGCAAAUUCGUCUUUCGGAGAUAACCCUGGAAGACAACUUACAUCCAUUCCGGUUACUACCAGAAGUCAAUCCCAACCCCGGAGCAUACCCCGGGAACAUCAUUUCCAACCCCGGAACACACACCGGAAGGAUCAUUUCCAACCUCAGAGAUAACCCCGAGUUUCGUCCUUGGCGAUAACCCCAAGGAGUGCUGUUGCAGUUCUGGCGAUAACUCCGGAAAUACCAAUUCCAAAUGCAUGCUAUCAGCUUCAAGCUCAGACCUCCUGCCGAGGCACUCAUACCUCAGACCCGUAGCUAACACCGGGCAGACAGGCACAUUCAGAAGAUGACCUUGCGGCAUUCAAACACUUGCAGUAGUCUAAUCUCAGAUAUAACCCUGAGCAACGUCUACUUUCAGCUCAAACCGGCGAUAACCCUGGUGAGGAGUCAAACGACAUCUUGCCACCUCAACAUUUUCUCUCACAAGAUGACAUGGCGGUAUACAAACAAGUAGUCCAAUCUCAGAUGUAACCCUGAGAAACAUCUGCUUUCAACUCAAACCAACGAUAACCCCAGCGAAGAGUCAAACGUCAUCUUGCCCCUUCAACACCUACGCGUCGUCUCAACACUUCAUACAUACAUACAUCCAAUGAUGUCCAACAAGAACUGAGGAGUUACAAUCCCGAGUGACUAUUACGCGUGGCAGUACUUUGGAUAGAAUUUGAGGCUUGAAGACUAUGGGCAUGGUCCCCUCUUCCUGACUUCGUAAAACCUCUAAUCCAUGUCAUUGUGUAACUCUCGACACAAACAGUCCAAAGAAGGUCACAUAUACCUCGUUCGGAUGCUCGGAUUGAAGUUCUGCAAGUUCAAGCGGACAUUACAGUGCAUGAGUGCAUGUACUUCGAGACGACGGGACCCGCAAAGCCCGGGGACACC